Molecule: long non-coding RNA, 1061 nt
Organism: Magnolia sinica
Lineage: Eukaryota; Viridiplantae; Streptophyta; Magnoliopsida; Magnoliales; Magnoliaceae
Exons: 8
Source: RefSeq, a predicted model, not a curated record
CCCUCUCGCUCUCGCUCUCUCGUGCUCCCUCACUGUAUCCCUCUCGCUCUCUCGUGCUCCCUCUCUCAAUCUCGCUGCCACUCUCCUUGUGGACGGAAGGUUUCUUCCUGUCAGGUAAAAACAGAGGGUUUCUUCCCAUCUCGCUGCCACUCUCCUUGUGGACGGAAGGUUUCUUCCUGUCAGGAAGGAAGGUUAGGACAACUUGGGGAAUGUUUGGAAACAUCAUCUUCAAGUUUAAGCACCUCUAGAACUGCUGGAGACUCUAGUUCAAUGCUGGAGGUUACAGAGAAGCAAUUGGAUGAGAAGGAAAUUGGUGAAUAACCUUUUGUAGGCAAGUGAAUCACUUAUUCCACACAAGAAAGUCUUGGGGUACAAAAAGGUGAAGCAUGGGUUUGGCAUGAGGGUUCCAAGAUCGAUAUUGAGGUUCUUCAAUCAAUGAGAUUUUUCCAUGUAAGCGAUAUUGGUCUUGUUUCGAGUCUAACAGUUUGUCGGUUCUAAAUGAAGACCAACUUCUUCAGAUUUGUCUGGCAUAAGCAAUCACAAUUGAAGCCGAUGGACGAGAAGAUAGUAGCUAUUGCACUACAAGGAUUUCAAAAAGUUAUCUGUGACACCAGCUUAUUAGAGACCCGAAAAAGCAGUUGACCACCUAUGAAGUUCCGUGUAAAAGAUACAAUAAAAGUGGAUUUUUUAUCUCCCUCUCAUGAUUCCAGAAUCAAGGAAUAUCAUCUCUUCUUGAGGUGAAUGUAGAAGGACAUCAGGUUUCGGCUACUGGAUUUUAGAAGGGUGUUGCAGGGAGCAUAGAUCCAUUGCCAAAAUAUCAGAUCUGAGGAGUCUCUGGCUGAGGCAUCGUAAUCUAAGACAUGACCUUCAAGAACACAGCAGGCCCCAAAAUGUCACAAGCAGUCGCCUUUUGAUCAAACUCCAACCUCUCAGACUACUACCGCUGUGAAUUUCAUGGUUACCAAGACACUCUCUAUGCUCACUUUCUUGUGAAUGAAUGAAGGAUUGUAAUUGAUUCAUUAUUAAAUGAAUGAUUGUAAUUGAAUGAAUGAAUAAUUAUG